GAUGAACGCUGGCGGCGUGCCUAAUACAUGCAAGUCGAGCGAACGGACGAGAAGCUUGCUUCUCUGAUGUUAGCGGCGGACGGGUGAGUAACACGUGGAUAACCUACCUAUAAGACUGGGAUAACUUCGGGAAACCGGAGCUAAUACCGGAUAAUAUUUUGAACCGCAUGGUUCAAUAGUGAAAGACGGUCUUGCUGUCACUUAUAGAUGGAUCCGCGCUGCAUUAGCUAGUUGGUAAGGUAACGGCUUACCAAGGCAACGAUGCAUAGCCGACCUGAGAGAGUGAUCGGCCACACGGGAACUGAGACACGGUCCAGACUCCUACGGGAGGCAGCAGUAGGGAAUCUUCCGCAAUGGGCGGAAGCCUGGCGGAGCAACGCCGCGUGAGUGAUGAAGGUCUUCGGAUCGUAAAACUCUGUUAUUAGGGAAGAACAUAUGUGUAAGUAACUGUGCACAUCUUGACGGUACCUAGUCAGAAAGCCACGGCUAACUACGUG
Molecule: ribosomal RNA, 497 nt
Filed under: uncultured bacterium
Lineage: Bacteria
Description: partial 16S ribosomal RNA
Rfam family: Bacterial small subunit ribosomal RNA
Source: RNAcentral